UACGGAGGGUGCAAGCAUUAAUCGGAAUAAUUGGGCGUAAAGGGCGCGUAGGCGGAUAAAUAAGUCAGAUGUGAAAUUCCGAGGCUCAACUUCGGAGCUGCAUUUGAAACUAUGUAUCUUGAGGGAUGGCGGAGAAAGUGGAAUUCCACGUGUAGCGGUGAAAUGCGUAGAUAUGUGGAAGAACACCAGUGGCGAAAGCGGCUUUCUAGCUAUCACCUAACGCUGAGGCGCGAGAGCAAGGGGAGCAAACAGG
RNAcentral lists this ribosomal RNA (253 nucleotides) under uncultured bacterium. Its description in RNAcentral is "partial 16S ribosomal RNA". It matches the Rfam family "Bacterial small subunit ribosomal RNA", at positions 524 to 776 of the family's 1533-position model. The record is from RNAcentral.